GUCGAGCGGCGGACGGGUGAGUAACACGUGAGAAUCUGCCCAUUAGUGGGGGAUAACCUGGGGAAACCCAGGCUAAUACCGCAUAAUCCCUACGGGGGAAAGCAGGGGACCUUCGGGCCUUGUGCUGAUGGAUGAGCUCGCGUCGGAUUAGCUUGUUGGUGAGGUAAUGGCUCACCAAGGCGACGAUCCGUAGCUGGUCUUAGAGGAUGAUCAGCCACACCGGGACUGAGACACGGCCCGGACUCCUACGGGAGGCAGCAGUGGGGAAUCUUGGACAAUGGGGGCAACCCUGAUCCAGCCAUGCCGCGUGUGUGAAGAAGGCCUUCGGGUUGUAAAGCACUUUCAGUAGGGAGGAAGGCUUAUCCUUAAUACGGAUGAGUACUUGACGUUACCUACAGAAGAAGCACCGGCUAAUUUCGUGCCAGCAGCCGCGGUAAUACGAAAGGUGCGAGCGUUAAUCGGAAUUACUGGGCGUAAAGCGCGCGUAGGCGGUUUGCUAAGUCAGAUGUGAAAGCCCCGGGCUCAACCUGGGAACUGCAUUUGAAACUGGCAGGCUAGAAUGCAGUAGAGGGAGGUGGAAUUUCCGGUGUAGCGGUGAAAUGCGUAGAGAUCGGAAGGAACACCAGUGGCGAAGGCGGCCUCCUGGACUGACAUUGACGCUGAGGUGCGAAAGCGUGGGGAGCAAACAGGAUUAGAUACCCUGGUAGUCCACGCCGUAAACGAUGUCUACUAGUCGUUGGGAAUCUUAGUAUUCUUGGUGACGAAGUUAACGCGAUAAGUAGACCGCCUGGGGGAGUACGGCCGCAAGGUUAAAACUCAAAUGAAUUUGACGGGGGCCCGCACAAGCGGUGGAACCAUGGUGGUUUAAUUCGAUGCAACGCGAAGAACCUUACCAGGCCUUGACAUCCUUGGAACUUUCUAGAAAAUAGAUUGGUGCCUUCGGGAGCCAAGUGACAGGUGCUGCAUGGCUGUCGUCAGCUCGUGUC
This 986-nucleotide ribosomal RNA is filed under the name Alcanivorax borkumensis. Its description in RNAcentral is "bacterial SSU rRNA". It matches the Rfam family "Bacterial small subunit ribosomal RNA", at positions 90 to 1066 of the family's 1533-position model. The record is from RNAcentral. Lineage: Bacteria; Pseudomonadati; Pseudomonadota; Gammaproteobacteria; Oceanospirillales; Alcanivoracaceae.